RNAcentral lists this ribosomal RNA (443 nucleotides) under uncultured bacterium. RNAcentral's name for it is "partial 16S ribosomal RNA". It matches the Rfam family "Bacterial small subunit ribosomal RNA", at positions 338 to 795 of the family's 1533-position model. The record is from RNAcentral.
CCUACGUGAGGCAGCAGUGGGGAAUAUUGGGCAAUGGGCGCAAGCCUGACCCAGCAACGCCGCGUGAAGGAAGAAGGCUUUCGGGUUGUAAACUUCUUUUCUCAUGGACGAAGCAAGUGACGGUACCUGCGGAAUAAGCCACCGCUAACUACGUGCCAGCAGCCGCGGUAAUACGUAGGUGGCAAGCGUUAUCCGGAUUUAUUGGGUGUAAAGGGCGUGUAGGCGGGAGCGCAAGUCAGAUGUGAAAACUCAGGGCUCAACCCUGAGCCUGCAUUUGAAACUGUGUUUCUUGAGUGCUGGAGAGGCAAUCGGAAUUCCGGGUGUAGCGGUGAAAUGCGUAGAUAUACGGAGGAAAACCAGUGGCGAAGGCGGAUUGCUGGACAGUAACUGACGCUGAGGCGCGAAAGCGUGGGGAGCAAACAGGAUUAGAUACCCGUGUAGUC